Molecule: long non-coding RNA, 1627 nt
Filed under: Nicotiana tabacum (common tobacco)
Lineage: Eukaryota; Viridiplantae; Streptophyta; Magnoliopsida; Solanales; Solanaceae
Description: long non-coding RNA (NTAB_LNC009711)
Source: RNAcentral
UGCUCGUGCCUCUACUUAUACCUCUGCUCGUAUUUAUUGCAACUCGUGCCUCUUUUGCUAAUCAUCACUCUUUGACCAGCCUCCGUGUCAUGACACAUCAUCUUCCAAUCACUUCACUAUGUAAACUCAAUUUUCCCAAUACAGUUUCUUAUGUGUAGAAAGACAAAUUUUUCCUCGUCCUGGCUUUAUCCCUGUCUUAGUCUCAGCCAUCUAGGUAUGAAAAUAAAUUAAGUACAAAUAACUUCACUAAACUAGAAGAAUAAUUACAUAAUAAAUUUAUUUAAUCAGUAAAAUAAAAUAAAUGAGGUAACAAUGAUGUAUAGACUCACGUCCACUAAACUGACUUUUGCAAGUUCUAAAUGCGUAGUCUUAGAUAUUAUCUACAAUCAAGUAACGAAAUAAUAAGGAAUAGAAUAUAAAAUAUAACAGAAUGUAAAGUAAAGCACGAUAUUCACAGACCAAUUUCCAAUGUCUACAUAAGUGAAAUACAUCAAGAAGGUCAUAUUGAUUAGGAUCUCUUUAGCUAAUGUUGCAUCAAAGCCUAAAGCAUUUGAAGUAUCUUCAAAUAGAAAUCCUAUUGUCAUAACUAUAACUCACUAUAAUUCUUCCCUCUAUCUAGAAUUCAUCUGAAAUGACUUUGUGAUGAAAAAAAAAUUCCAUUGAAUCAAGUUUGCGAAAUGCUUACUAAGAAUCAUAUUUUCAUAACUUCUAUUCUUUAGAUGAUGAGAAAAGGAUUCCAAAUAAUCAAGUUAGCAAACUGCUUACAAAGUUCUCUAAAAGAAUAUUUCUAUUUGCAAAUGCCCAUUUUUCUCUUGCAGUAGCAACUAGUAAUUUGUUGAGAGCCAUAGUAACCAUUUAUUUUAGAUUGUUAAACAGUUAAUCUAAUUUUUUCAUUCUUAAAUAACAAAGUUCUAAUUUUCAUGUUUAAAGAUAAACACCCAAAGCUAGAUAUUUCUUGUUCUCUUGAUUCUAAUUCGCUUCACUUUCAUCAGAAAAACAUUUCUUAGUUAAAGCUGCUAAACUCAAUCAAAUGUGAGAAAUAAGCAGGCCAUGAACAACAACUACAACUCAAUCUAAAUUAAAAUAAGAUUAGAUCUCUACAAUUCAAAAAAAUAACUUUUCAAUCAUCUAAUGGAGACUCUGGAGAAGAGGAAAAAAUAGAAAUAAUACUAACUAGACAACUAGCGCAAAAGAGGAUCUAAUAAAUUACUAGAGUAGCAAACAAACGUUGAUGGAGGCUGAAGUUCCUAAUGAGAAUACAUGCAUUCAGUCAUUAGCCAUAUGUGGAAAAGAAAGAAAAUAGGCAUAGAGAGAGCUAGAUAUUAAUAAAUUGGGAAAAAGUAUAAAAAAAGGCCUUUCUUCCGAACAUUCAAGCACCAUAGCACAAAGAAACAAUAAGUUGCAAUUCUAUACGUAUCCUCAAACCAGAAUAUUAGUUGAAUAAACUCUGUAAAAUCGAAGAGCAUAAACAUCUAAAAAAUUUACAAAGCCAAACUAGAACUUAAAUUCUCUCACCAAAUAAGAAAUCAAAACGCGAAAAAGAAAUCAUAUGAAACUUACCGAUUUACCAGAUCCAAUUUACAAAACUGGAUGAAUCCUAAAAGUGGAGGGGGGGAAGAGGUGUUAA